GCUCAGAACGAACGCUGGCGGCAGGCUUAACACAUGCAAGUCGAGGGGUAACAGAAGGAAGCUUGCUUCUUUGCUGACGACCGGCGCACGGGUGCGUAACACGUAUGCAACUUACCUCUAACAGGGGGAUAGCCCAGAGAAAUCUGGAUUAAUACCCCAUAGUAUUGUUUGACCGCAUGGUUGAAUGAUUAAAGAUUCAUCGGUAUAGGAUGGUCAUGCGUCUGAUUAGCUAGUUGGGGAGGUAACGGCUCACCAAGGCGACGAUCAGUAGGGGUUCUGAGAGGAAGGUCCCCCACACUGGCACUGAGAUACGGGCCAGACUCCUACGGGAGGCAGCAGUGGGGAAUCUUGGACAAUGGGCGAAAGCCUGAUCCAGCCAUUCC
RNAcentral lists this ribosomal RNA (383 nucleotides) under Schmidingerella taraikaensis. Its description in RNAcentral is "partial Bacterial small subunit ribosomal RNA". It matches the Rfam family "Bacterial small subunit ribosomal RNA", at positions 22 to 398 of the family's 1533-position model. The record is from RNAcentral. Lineage: Eukaryota; Ciliophora; Spirotrichea; Tintinnida; Rhabdonellidae.